AAUCAACGCUGGCAGCGUGCCUAACACAUGCAAGUCGCACGAGAAAGUGGAGCAAUCCAUGAGUAAAGUGGCGUACGGGUGAGUAACACGUGACUAACCUACCCUCGAGUGGGGAAUAACCUCGGGAAACCGGGGCUAAUACCGCAUAACAUCUUCUGGCUGAGAUGCCGGUUGAUCAAACCAGUAAUGGGCUUGAGGAGGGGGUCGCGGCUGAUUAGCUAGUUGGUGGGGUAACGGCUCACCAAGGCGAUGAUCAGUAGCCGGCCUGAGAGGGCGCACGGCCACACUGGAACUGAAACACGGUCCAGACUCCUACGGGAGGCAGUAGUGGGGAAUUUUGCGCAAUGGGGGAAACCCUGACGCAGCAACGCCGCGUGGAGGAUGAAGUCCCUUGGGACGUAAACUCCUUUCGAUCGGGACGAUUAUGACGGUACCGGAAGAAGAAGCCCCGGCUAACUUCGUGCCAGCAGCCGCGGUAAUACGAGGGGGGCAAGCGUUGUUCGGAAUUAUUGGGCGUAAAGGGCGCGUAGGCGGUGCGGUAAGUCUGAUGUGAAAUCUCCGGGCUCAACUCGGAGUCUGCAUCAGAAACUGCCGUGCUCGAGUGUGGGAGAGGU
Molecule: ribosomal RNA, 614 nt
Filed under: uncultured Acidobacteriota bacterium
Lineage: Bacteria; Pseudomonadati; Acidobacteriota
Description: bacterial SSU rRNA
Rfam family: Bacterial small subunit ribosomal RNA
Source: RNAcentral